UGAUGCUCCCUACAAUUAUGUAUGCAGGAAGAAACGAAUUUGCUUUGCAUCUUGAAGCAGGUAUAAGGUCAUAGACUGCAGCUAUGACCCCACCAUUGUUCCCAUCUCCCUCUUCUACAGAAUUCUAACUCUGUAUAUGGUGACAUGCACGAAUCACUGCUCAAAUCUAGAGGAAAUUUUGGUGACGACUUACAACCAGUAUGAAAUCCCUCUUAAGCUUAAUAAUGAUGAUUAUGAAAUCUUUGAUUCUUUUUAGUGUUUUAUUGCUGGUUUCUCCACCAUUCAAGCAUUACAGCAAAUAUAAAUCCAAGGGA
Molecule: unclassified non-coding RNA, 314 nt
Filed under: Hevea brasiliensis (rubber tree)
Lineage: Eukaryota; Viridiplantae; Streptophyta; Magnoliopsida; Malpighiales; Euphorbiaceae
Source: RNAcentral